UACGUAGGGGGCAAGCGUUGUCCGGACUUAUUGGGCGUAAAGCGCGCGCAGGCGGCCUUGUAAGUCUGUUGUUUAAACUCGGGGCUCAACCCCGAGUCGCAAUGGAAACUGCAAAGCUUGAGUACAGAAGAGGAAAGUGGAAUUCCACGUGUAGCGGUGAAAUGCGUAGAGAUGUGGAGGAAUACCAGUGGCGAAGGCGACUUUCUGGGCUGUAACUGACGCUGAGGCGCGAAAGCGUGGGGAGCAAACAGG
Molecule: ribosomal RNA, 252 nt
Filed under: uncultured bacterium
Lineage: Bacteria
Description: partial 16S ribosomal RNA
Rfam family: Bacterial small subunit ribosomal RNA
Source: RNAcentral